This 1626-nucleotide long non-coding RNA is filed under the name Anas platyrhynchos platyrhynchos (common mallard). RNAcentral's name for it is "lncRNA (ENSAPLG00000019261.1)". Lineage: Eukaryota; Metazoa; Chordata; Aves; Anseriformes; Anatidae. The record is from RNAcentral.
ACGGCUGCGUGGUGUUUAGCUGCCGGCUGGGUUAAACCACGACAGUCUUUUUGGCGCCCAACGUGGGGCCCGAAAGGUUGAGAUAACGGCAGAUCUGACCAGAGUGUGUUAAACUAAAAUUGGUGUAAGGAUUAGACCUGCUUAAUAGUCACUUGUCAUAAUGCUGAUUGCUUUAAUCUCAACUCUGCUGCGCCUGUUUUCCAAAUUGAGUAUUAUAGUACAUUAUUUUCCGUAUUUGCUCUCUGUCGUGUUGUUUAUCCUCUCCGGGUCCUGGUUUCAGAUCAUUAUGGUACUGUGUGUUGUAGCAAUGGCUUAUGAGACGAUGAAAUAUGUGGUCAUGACUCUAACUUGUUAUUUGUAUUCAGUAACAUCGUCGACUCUGUACUUUGGAAACUGUAUCUUGCAAACUAUUAGCAAUUAUACCUAUUGUUUUUUUCCAUUAGGGAGUCAAUCUGUGGAGGGGAAAGGGGAAGAUACUUUUUCUUACUUGCUUACUCUCCCUUUCUCCUUCACCACCCCUGUAUCCUCCUGGAUCACUCUGCCUUCCUCCUUCACCACCCUCUUAUCCCCUGAGCUUGUCACAAUAGCUCUCCAAGAUAUUGAAUACUUCUGGGAUACUCAGAAUACCAUAGUCUUGUUGUUCUGCCUCAUGAAUGCACUUCAGGUUCUGCUUAAAGUUAAACAACUACUUGGGAAGCUCAUCCGGAGAUCUACCCGGAGGCAGUAUAGUUGUGGGUGGCAGGGAGUAUGGGUGGAUAUGGGCAGGCAUCUAGAGCAGUUGGCACCCCCAGUGUUUUGGAAAUUCACCCCUGAACAAUGGCAAAAUCCUCAAAAACUGGCAGAAUGCUUGAAAAAAAGGUGUCAUGAUUCUGGCAGUUCCAAAGUGACACAAAUCAUUGUAACGUGCUGGGGCCUGGCUCAUGCCUAUCGAGCUGCCAUUGAUACUGCUAUCAACUUAGUGACAGACCCUGCGGCCACUCCAAGCCCUGUGACAGAUCCAACGGCCACUGUGACCCCUACGGUGGAUUCUGCAGCCGCUCCAGCUCCAGCUCCUGCAGCCACUCCAGAUCCGGUUCCUGCAGCCGCUCCAGUCCCAGCUCCUGCAGCCGCUCCAGUCCCAGCUCCUGCAGCCGCUCCAGUCCCAGCACCUGCAGCCGCUCCAGUCCCAGCACCUGCAGCCGCUCCAGUCCCAGCUCCUGCAGCCGCUCCAGCUCCAGCUCCUGCAGCCGCUCCAGCUCCAGCUCCUGCACCCGCUCCAGUUCCAGCUCCGGCUGCUACUCCAGUCCCAGUUCCUGCAACUGCUCCAGCUCCAGCUCCUGCAGCCGCUCCAGCUCCAGCUCCUGCUCCUGCUGCAGCUCCAGUCCCAGCUCCUGCAACUGCUCCAGCUCCAGCUCCUGUAGCCGCUACAGCUCCAGUUCCUGCAACUGCUCCAGCUCCUGCAGCCGCUCCAGCUCCUGUGGCCGUGUCAGAGAAACGAGCUGUAGCAGUGCUAGUUGACCCUGCAGAGGGUAUUUCAAGCCCUGUAACGGCGUCAGAGAAACGAGCUGUAGCAGUGCAAGUUGACCCUGCAGAGGGUAUUCCAACCUCUGUGGCAGACCCUGUAACAAAGUCAGAGAAACGAGCAGU